GUGGAUUCCUACAGGUCCAAGCCAGAGAGUAGAAUCAUCAAGAUGCAAGUAUGUUUGAGUGAAAAACAUAACAAUGUUGAAUCAGAAGGAGAGAAACUACUGCAGUGGCCCAGAGGACUGCAAGUGCCUGAAAGCUCACUGGGGAUGGAAAAUAUGACUUCCCUCUAGUUUCUUCAUUCUGGGUUUGUCAAGGAUACACACCCUACAGAGAGACCCCUCACCUUUCCCCACAAACGGUACCUCCUUUUCCUUCCCCUACUCAGUAGGAAUGUGCUCUUUAAGGAUUCUGCAAGAGCAGAACUGGUGAGAAAGGUGCUUUUAAAAACAGUGCUGUGGACUUCCAUCCUAACCCAGUGCAGAGCACUGGCACAGUAUGUAAAUGCUUAGUAUAUUUCUUUUCAUGUUUGUUAUGAUCAAAAAGUCAUUACUGACUUCACCAUUGUAAACAAUGAAACACCAAGCUAUGAGUGAUGAUUUAAAGUGAAAAUACAGCACAGGAGCCCCCAAAACACCUUAUACUACAUCAUGCAAUAAUGUAAUAAUCCCCAAAAGCCCAAGCCAGCAAAUAUGCUGCACAGAAAACUGGUAAGACACUGAAAAGCAAACUUCGCCAAGAAAAAAAGUUCCACUGAAAUUUUUAUUCAGCUUAUGAUAGUGUAUACCAUUUUCUUUUGGCCUUUGUAAUUUCUCUGUCAUUUAGUUUCUAAGAGAACAUUGGUCAGCAGGCUUUAUAACUGUUUUCUUCAGAUGGAGAAGAAUCAUGAUAAAGGUCACAUUUCCACUGCUAAGUGCUCUUGGAUAUGGUGAUCCUGAAGAAACUGCUGCCUGUGGAGACUGCACUGAUGGAACAGGGGAGCCACAGUCUGUUAGGCAUAGAAAGCAUGUCCUAAGACACAGUUCAUUCUUAUGGAAAUUUACAUGAUUUAGGGUUUAUGUUUCCAUGUAAACCCAUAAAACAUAAUCCACACAAUUUUAGAACAACGUUACACUCUAUUUUAUAAGGAACAGAAAAAUCAGCUAUAUAAUUUGCCAUCUCCCUUGCCCAAAUGUGUCAAUACUUAAUUGAUCCUUGCUUUUCCUUUUUGGUUGAGCUAAUCAAGAUAAAUGUAAAAGCAACGGUGCCUAAAAGAACAGGCACUCAGCAUAUAGUUGAUUGAAAGAAAUAAGAGGGAGACCCAUAGAGAAACUAUGAACAUGAUAAAAAAUGUUGAUUAAAACAAUAUAGUCAUCUGGCUGUCUUUCGUUUACUUACAUGAAUGAGCCAAUAAAAUCAAC
This 1275-nucleotide long non-coding RNA is filed under the name Homo sapiens (human). Its description in RNAcentral is "HSALNT0199914". The record is from RNAcentral. Lineage: Eukaryota; Metazoa; Chordata; Mammalia; Primates; Hominidae.